GCUUGUGGAUGGGCAUAUGGAAUGAAUAUCUUUGAUUUGGAGGAAUGGAAGAGGCAAAAUAUCACUGCGGUGUAUCAUAGAUGGCAGAAGCUGAAUCAUGACAGGUCGUUGUGGAAGUUGGGGACUCUACCACCUGGCCUUAUUACUUUCUGGAAAAGGACUUAUUCUCUUGACCAAUCAUGGCAUGUACUGGGCCUUGGCUAUAACCCCAAUGUCAACCAAAGAGAGAUUGAACGAGCAGCUGUUAUACACUACAAUGGUAAUAUGAAACCAUGGCUUGAGAUAGGCAUAUCCAAGUACCGCAACUACUGGGUGAAGUAUGUGGAUUAUGAUCAUGUGUACUUGCGAGAAUGCAACAUUAAUCCCUAGAAGAGUCCUCUUGGUAUCAAUUCACUAGAGUUCUGCUGCACAUCAUGUGGCCAAACAUUUUU
Molecule: unclassified non-coding RNA, 431 nt
Filed under: Hevea brasiliensis (rubber tree)
Lineage: Eukaryota; Viridiplantae; Streptophyta; Magnoliopsida; Malpighiales; Euphorbiaceae
Source: RNAcentral